AGGCUGGGCCUGGCUGUGGGCAGCCGAGAGAGGUCACCAGGGAACGGACCAUGUGUCUUCUCUCCAGACCCGGCCACAGCUGGUGGACUUCCUGAGAAGGGCAGUGAGACCGGCCACUCUACCCCUGCUGCAGGAGACCCCAGGAGGUGACGUAUGCUCAGCUGGACCACCAAGCCCUCACAGAAGGGG
Sciurus carolinensis (gray squirrel) is the source of this 189-nucleotide long non-coding RNA. RefSeq lists it as uncharacterized. The record is from RefSeq and is a predicted model, not a curated record. NCBI's taxonomy places the organism in Eukaryota, Metazoa, Chordata, Mammalia, Rodentia, Sciuridae. The transcript is spliced from 3 exons.